RNAcentral lists this microRNA precursor (61 nucleotides) under Pelobates cultripes (western spadefoot toad). Lineage: Eukaryota; Metazoa; Chordata; Amphibia; Anura; Pelobatidae. The record is from RNAcentral.
UAGUGCUGCAAUGUAAACAUUGCCAUUUCAGGGAAAUGGCAAUGUUUACAUUGCAGCACUA